GAUGAACGCUGGCGGCGUGCCUAAUACAUGCAAGUCGAGCGAACGGACGAGAAGCUUGCUUCUCUGAUGUUAGCGGCGGACGGGUGAGUAACACGUGGAUAACCUACCUAUAAGACUGGGAUAACUUCGGGAAACCGGAGCUAAUACCGGAUAAUAUUUUGAACCGCAUGGUUCAAAAGUGAAAGACGGUCUUGCUGUCACUUAUAGAUGGAUCCGCGCUGCAUUAGCUAGUUGGUAAGGUAACGGCUUACCAAGGCAACGAUGCAUAGCCGACCUGAGAGGGUGAUAGGCCACACUGGAACUGAGACCCGGUCCAGACUCCUACGGGAGGCAGCAGUAGGGAAUCUUCCGCAAUGGGCGAAAGCCUGACGGAGCAACGCCGCGUGAGUGAUGAAGGUCUUCGGAUCGUAAAACUCUGUUAUUAGGGAAGAACAUAUGUGUAAGUAACUGUGCACAUCUUGACGGUACCUAAUCAGAAAGCCACGGCUAACUACGUG
Molecule: ribosomal RNA, 497 nt
Filed under: uncultured bacterium
Lineage: Bacteria
Description: partial 16S ribosomal RNA
Rfam family: Bacterial small subunit ribosomal RNA
Source: RNAcentral